UUUAUUGGAGAGUUUGAUCCUGGCUCAGGACGAACGCUGGCGGCGUGCCUAAUACAUGCAAGUCGAGCGAAUCUGAGGGAGCUUGCUCCCGAAGAUUAGCGGCGGACGGGUGAGUAACACGUGGGUAACCUGCCUGUAAGAUUGGGAUAACUCCGGGAAACCGAAGCUAAUACCGGAUAAUAUUUCGAACCGCAUGGUUCGAAAUUGAAAGGUGGCUUUUGCUACCACUUACAGAUGGACCCGCGGCGCAUUAGCUAGUUGGUGAGGUAACGGCUCACCAAGGCGACGAUGCGUAGCCGACCUGAGAGGGUGAUCGGCCACACUGGGACUGAGACACGGCCCAGACUCCUACGGGAGGCAGCAGUAGGGAAUCUUCCGCAAUGGACGAAAGUCUGACGGAGCAACGCCGCGUGAGCGAAGAAGGCCUUCGGGUCGUAAAGCUCUGUUGUUAGGGAAGAACAAGUACCGUUCGAAUAGGGCGGUACCUUGACGGUACCUAACCAGAAAGCCACGGCUAACUACGUGCCAGCAGCCGCGGUAAUACGUAGGUGGCAAGCGUUGUCCGGAAUUAUUGGGCGUAAAGCGCGCGCAGGCGGUUUCUUAAGUCUGAUGUGAAAGCCCACGGCUCAACCGUGGAGGGUCAUUGGAAACUGGGGAACUU
This 661-nucleotide ribosomal RNA is filed under the name Bacillus sp. SA1-12. Its description in RNAcentral is "bacterial SSU rRNA". It matches the Rfam family "Bacterial small subunit ribosomal RNA", at positions 1 to 643 of the family's 1533-position model. The record is from RNAcentral. Lineage: Bacteria; Bacillati; Bacillota; Bacilli; Caryophanales; Bacillaceae.